CGUGUUAUCUUGUAAUAUUUUUAUGUAGAAAUGUUCAGCUAAUGGUACAGAAUGUGGUGUUUGUCAUUCAAGGGAUCUGUUGUUCAGGUUUAGUGAAGAUGUGGUUACAUGUCCUAACUGCUCCUCACACUUUCACUGGUUAUAGCAAGUUCCUGUUAAAGGUUCAAGUACAUUAGGUUAAUGACACUAAGAGGAUAAGUACAAUUCUCUGCUAUUGAAGACUACAUUGAGAA
Molecule: long non-coding RNA, 233 nt
Organism: Amphimedon queenslandica
Lineage: Eukaryota; Metazoa; Porifera; Demospongiae; Haplosclerida; Niphatidae
Exons: 3
Source: RefSeq, a predicted model, not a curated record